GAUGAACGCUGGCGGCGUGCCUAAUACAUGCAAGUCGAGCGAACGGACGAGAAGCUUGCUUCUCUGAUAUUAGCGGCGGACGGGUGAGUAACACGUGGAUAACCUACCUAUAAGACUGGGAUAACUUCGGGAAACCGUAGCUAAUACCGGAUAAUAUUUUGAACCGCAUGGUUCAAAAGUGAAAGACGGUCUUGCUGUCACUUAUAGAUGGAUCCGCGCUGCAUUAGCUAGUUGGUAAGGUAACGGCUUACCAAGGCAACGAUGCAUAGCCGACCUGAGAGGGUGAUCGGCCACACUGGAACUGAGACACGGUCCAGACUCCUACGGGAGGCAGCAGUAGGGAAUCUUCCGCAAUGGGCGAAAGCCUGACGGAGCAACGACGCGUGAGUGAUGAAGGUCUUCGGAUCGUAAAACUCUGUUAUUAGGGAAGAACAUAUGUGUAAGUAACUGUGCACAUCUUGACGGUACCUAAUCAGAAAGCCACGGCUAACUACGUG
Molecule: ribosomal RNA, 497 nt
Filed under: uncultured bacterium
Lineage: Bacteria
Description: partial 16S ribosomal RNA
Rfam family: Bacterial small subunit ribosomal RNA
Source: RNAcentral